AAAGUGGGUCGGACGAUCGCUGGGGCCGAAAGGCCACCAGAGGAAGGUCCGGACUCCAUUGGAUAGGGUGCUGGCUAACGGCCAGGCGCAGCGAGUUGCGGUUGUCUUCGGUCAGCCAAAACCCAAGGCGACGGAAAGUGGCACAGAAAACAAACCGCCCGCUGGGUUUCGGCCCCGCGGGUAAGGGUGAAAAGGUGGGGUAAGAGCCCACCGCGGCGCUGGCGACAGCGUUGGCAGGCCAAACCCCACCCGGAGCAACACCAAAUAGGCAUACGCGUGCCUGCCUUGCGGCAAGCCCACCGAUGAUCCGUCGUUGUUUGCGUAUGUGGGUAGGUGGCUUGAGCGCGCUUGCAAGGGUGCGCCCAGAGGAAUGAUCGUCAGGCUUUUAGCCCUACAGAAUCCGGCCUACAGACCCGCUUUCCCC
Molecule: RNase P RNA, 424 nt
Filed under: Betaproteobacteria bacterium
Lineage: Bacteria; Pseudomonadati; Pseudomonadota; Betaproteobacteria
Description: RNase P RNA component class A
Rfam family: Bacterial RNase P class A
About the family: Ribonuclease P (RNase P) is a ubiquitous endoribonuclease, found in archaea, bacteria and eukarya as well as chloroplasts and mitochondria. Its best characterised activity is the generation of mature 5'-ends of tRNAs by cleaving the 5'-leader elements of precursor-tRNAs. Cellular RNase Ps are ribonucleoproteins.
Source: RNAcentral